Molecule: small nuclear RNA, 104 nt
Organism: Manis javanica (Malayan pangolin)
Lineage: Eukaryota; Metazoa; Chordata; Mammalia; Pholidota; Manidae
Source: RefSeq, a predicted model, not a curated record
GUGCUCGAUUCAGCAGCAUAUAUCCUAAAAUUGAAAUAGUACAGAGAUUAGCAUGGUCCCUGUGCUAGGAUAACAUGCAAAUUCGUGAAGUGUUCUGUAUUUUU